RNAcentral lists this microRNA precursor (52 nucleotides) under Callithrix jacchus (white-tufted-ear marmoset). RNAcentral describes it as "mir-1302 microRNA precursor family". It matches the Rfam family "mir-1302 microRNA precursor family". The record is from Rfam by way of RNAcentral. Lineage: Eukaryota; Metazoa; Chordata; Mammalia; Primates; Cebidae.
UUCUUAGUAUAAGUAUGUCUCAUGUCAUAUUUGGUACACACUUAUACUAAAA